Molecule: ribosomal RNA, 468 nt
Filed under: uncultured bacterium
Lineage: Bacteria
Description: partial 16S ribosomal RNA
Rfam family: Bacterial small subunit ribosomal RNA
Source: RNAcentral
GACGAACGCUGGCGGCGUGCUUAACACAUGCAAGUCGAACGGAAAGGCCCUGCUUUUGUGGGGUGCUCGAGUGGCGAACGGGUGAGUAACACGUGAGUAACCUGCCCUUGACUUUGGGAUAACUUCAGGAAACUGGGGCUAAUACCGGAUAGGAGCUCCUGCUGCAUGGUGGGGGUUGGAAAGUUUCGGCGGUUGGGGAUGGACUGGCGGCUUAUCAGCUUGUUGGUGGGGUAGUGGCUUACCAAGGCUUUGACGGGUAGCCGGCCUGAGAGGGUGACCGGCCACAUUGGGACUGAGAUACGGCCCAGACUCCUACGGGAGGCAGCAGUGGGGAAUAUUGCACAAUGGGCGGAAGCCUGAUGCAGCAACGCCGCGUGCGGGAUGAAGGCCUUCGGGUUGUAAACCGCUUUCGCCUGUGACGAAGCGUGAGUGACGGUAAUGGGUAAAGAAGCACCGGCUAACUACGUG